GACGAACGCUGGCGGCGUGCUUAACACAUGCAAGUCGAACGGAAAGGCCCUGCUUUUGUGGUGUGCUCGAGUGGCGCACGUGUGUAUAACACGUGAGUACCCUGCCCUUGACUUUGGGAUCACUUCAGGACACUGGGGCUAAUACCGGAUAGGCGCUCCUGCUGCUUGGUGGGGGUUGGAAAGUUUCGGCGGUUGGGGAUUGACUCGCGGCGUAUCAGCUUGUUGGUGGGGUUGUGGCUUACCCAGGCUUUGACGGGUAGCCGGCCUGAGAGGGUGACCGGCAACAAUGGGACAGAGAUACGGGCGAGACAGCUACGGGGGGCAGUGGUGAGGGAGAGUGCACAAGGGGCGGAGGCGUGAUGCAGGAAAGCGGCGUGCGGGAGGAGGGACUUCGGGUUGUAAACCGCUUUCGCCUGGGACGAAGCGGGAGUGACGGUAAUGGGUAAAGAAGCACCGGCUAACUACGUG
This 468-nucleotide ribosomal RNA is filed under the name uncultured bacterium. RNAcentral's name for it is "partial 16S ribosomal RNA". It matches the Rfam family "Bacterial small subunit ribosomal RNA", at positions 28 to 507 of the family's 1533-position model. The record is from RNAcentral.